AUUUAUAUAAUAUAAAAAUAUUAUAAUUGACUUCCAAUCAAAAAAUCUAGAUUCUAGUAUAAAUA
RNAcentral lists this transfer RNA (65 nucleotides) under Glischrochilus hortensis. RNAcentral's name for it is "tRNA-Gly". Lineage: Eukaryota; Metazoa; Arthropoda; Insecta; Coleoptera; Nitidulidae. The record is from RNAcentral.